AGAGUUUGAUCCUGGCUCAGAACGAACGCUGGCGGCGCGCUUAACACAUGCAAGUCGAGCGAUUAAAGCUCCCUUCGGGGAGUGUAUAAAGCGGCGGACGGGUGAGUAAUACAUAGAUAAUCUGCCCUAGAGCGGGGGAUACCCACUGGAAACGGUGGUUAAUACCGCGUACAUUAGCCCCUCAUAAGGGGGGUUAACAAAGGCUUCGGCCACUUUGGGAUGAGUCUGUGUCCGAUUAUGCUAGUUGGUGGGGUAAAGGCCUACCAAGGCUUCGAUCGGUAGCUGGUCUGAGAGGACGAUCAGCCACACUGGGACUGAGAUACGGCCCAGACUCCUACGGGAGGCAGCAGUGAGGAAUUUUGCGCAAUGGGCGAAAGCCUGACGCAGCGACGCCGCGUGAAGGAUGAAGUCCUUCGGGAUGUAAACUUCUGUCAGUGGGAACGAAAAAAAUGACGGUACCCACAAAGGAAGCACCGGCUAACUCCGUGCCAGCAGCCGCGGUAAUACGGAGGGUGCAAGCGUUGUUCGGAUUUACUGGGCGUAAAGCGUAUGUAGGCGGUUGGUUAAGUCCCGUGUUAAAUCUCAAGGCUCAACCUUGAAACUGCACGCGAUACUGGCCAACUUGAGGGCAGUAGAGGAGGGUGGAAUUCCCAAUGUAGCGGUGAAAUGCGUAGAUAUUGGGAGGAACAUCAGUAGCGAAGGCGACCCUCUGGGCUGUCCCUGACGCUGAGGUACGAAAGCGUGGGUAGCGAACGGGAUUAGAUACCCCGGUAGUCCACGCCGUAAACGAUGUAUAUUAGGUGUAGCUGGUAUCGACCCUGGCUGUGCCGUAGCUAACGCGUUAAAUAUACCGCCUGGGGAGUACGUGCGCAAGCAUGAAACUCAAAGGAAUUGACGGGGGCCCGCACAAGCGGUGGAGGAUGUGGUUUAAUUCGAUGCAACGCGAAGAACCUUACCAGGGCUUGACAUUCAGCGAAAGCCUGGGAAACCAGGAAGUGCCUUCGGGAGCGCUGAAACAGGUGGUGCAUGGCUGUCGUCAGCUCGUGUCGUGAGAUGUUGGGUUAAGUCCCGCAACGAGCGCAACCCUCGGGCUUAGUUGCCAUCAGGUAAUGCUGGGUACUCUAGACCGACUGCCGGUGACAAACCGGAGGAAGGUGGGGACGACGUCAAGUCAUCAUGCCCCUUACGCUCUGGGCUACACACGUCCUACAAUGGUCAGGAUAGAGGGGAGCGAAGCCGCGAGGUGAAGCGAAUCUCACAAACCUGGCCUCAGUUCAGAUUGCAGGCUGCAACUCGCCUGCAUGAAGGAGGAAUCGCUAGUAAACGCAGAUCAGCAUGCUGCGUUGAAUACGUUCCCGGGCCUUGUACACACCGCCCGUCACACCACGAAAGUUCGUCACUCCCGAAGUCGGUGGGCUAACCCAUUAGGGAGGCAGUCGCCUAAGGAAGGGCGGAUGAUUGGGGUGAAGUCGUAACAAGGUAACC
RNAcentral lists this ribosomal RNA (1485 nucleotides) under uncultured bacterium. RNAcentral describes it as "bacterial SSU rRNA". It matches the Rfam family "Bacterial small subunit ribosomal RNA". The record is from RNAcentral.